UAAGAACGACUCUCGGCAACGGAUAUCUCGGCUCUUGCAUCGAUGAAGAACGUAGCGAAAUGCGAUACUUGGUGUGAAUUGCAGAAUCCCGUGAACCAUCGAGUCUUUGAACGCAAGUUGCGCCCGAAGCCAUCAGGCCUAGGGCACGUCUGCCUGGGCGUCACACACU
Molecule: ribosomal RNA, 169 nt
Filed under: Sparattosyce dioica
Lineage: Eukaryota; Viridiplantae; Streptophyta; Magnoliopsida; Rosales; Moraceae
Description: 5.8S ribosomal RNA
Rfam family: 5.8S ribosomal RNA
About the family: 5.8S ribosomal RNA (5.8S rRNA) is a component of the large subunit of the eukaryotic ribosome.
Source: RNAcentral